UACGAAGGGGGCUAGCGUUGUUCGGAAUUACUGGGCGUAAAGCGCGUGUAGGCGGGUCCUUAAGUCAGGGGUGAAAUGCCAAGGCUCAACCUUGGAACUGCCUUUGAUACUGGGGAUCUUGAGUCCGGGAGAGGUGAGUGGAACUGCGAGUGUAGAGGUGAAAUUCGUAGAUAUUCGCAAGAACACCAGUGGCGAAGGCGGCUCACUGGCCCGGAACUGACGCUGAGACGCGAAAGCGUGGGGAGCCAAACAGGGAGUUAA
This 261-nucleotide ribosomal RNA is filed under the name uncultured bacterium. RNAcentral's name for it is "partial 16S ribosomal RNA". It matches the Rfam family "Bacterial small subunit ribosomal RNA", at positions 524 to 782 of the family's 1533-position model. The record is from RNAcentral.